Ipomoea triloba (trilobed morning glory) is the source of this 1392-nucleotide long non-coding RNA. RefSeq lists it as uncharacterized. The transcript has 2 exons. The record is from RefSeq and is a predicted model, not a curated record. Lineage: Eukaryota; Viridiplantae; Streptophyta; Magnoliopsida; Solanales; Convolvulaceae.
CUUUCGGCUCAACCCUACACCCCAUUCUUUCCCACCUCCUUUCUCUCCCACCUUUGAUCUGGUGUGUGUUCAUUUCAUGUUCAUCAUGCUUGCUGCAAUUCUUGCUUUCUGGUUUGGUUUUUGGGUGGGAGAAAAAGAAAAGGGAAAUUGUGUGUGUGGGGCUUAAAGUGAGAUGGAUCCAUUAUUUGAUUAGGACCCCUCCAUCUUUCUAAUCUCCAUUCUAUCCUUAUAUAUCCCUAGUUCUUCCCCUCUUUCUCCCUCCCUGGGUUUCUAAUCUGUGUUCUUAGCUAGGGCAGAUACAAUACAGAUGGAUAUAUAUAUACGUAUAUGCGUAUAUAUGCCUGGCUCCCUGUAUGCCAUUUGCAGAGCUCACCGAGACCUCGACGGGCCUCCGUGAAUGGCGUAUGAGGAGCCAAGCAUAUUCCCAAUUCGUGUGUAUGUAUAUAUGUAUAUAUGCUAGCUUCCAUAGUUCUAUGAUAUUCAACCUCAGAUCAUGUUGUAUUACAUGAAAAAGAUUUGUUUUCGUAGAAAUUGAGGUUUCUUAUUAGGUUUUGGUGUCAUUUUAUGCUGCAAAACAAUGAAAACACACUGUACUACUAUACUCCUUUCAUCCCAGCAUAUUAUAUCUUAAUCUAUUGUUCCAGAUCGAUGAACCUGAAGGUUAAAGUGAGAGACUCGGGACUAAUGAGAUGGAUCAGCCCGCUUUGACAGAGUACUGCUCGAGAGCUCGGAAGCCUUGUGAGGCUAGGCGUUGAUCGUGUUGUUGAUGGGUUGAAGGGAGGGUGUGGUUGGUUAGCAGGGAAUAAUGUUGUUGCACAGUCAAUGCUGGUCAAAAAGGGACAAUUCGCUUUCUAGGGAAAAGCAAAAGGACCCCUUCACCCCUGCCUACCUAUUCACUUUGGAGAUCUUCUCCUGAACCCAAUUGGAUUCUCUCUCUCUCACUAUAUGUAUCUAUGUUUCUCUCACUAUAUUCAUUCAUCUCUGUGGUUUUCCUUCCACCACCCACCUGCCCUCUGCCACCCUCUAAUCCUCAGCAAAACUUUAAUCUACAGAACAUUCUCCUGGAUGGCCAGCCCUGUCUGUAAAGUUGGGGAAAUUGCGAGCUGCCAAUUUCAUCUUCUCUCUCUAUUUAAUAAAGUAUCCUCUUCACUUUCUUCCCCCGAAAAAACAAUUAUUAAGUUAACUGUCUAAUCAAUUCAGUUAAAAGUUGUUCAUGACAACCAACUCGACCAGGAAAAAAUUUAAAUUUUCAUCUUUCUCAAGGGUUGAUAGUAUUGAAGCCUUGAUACAUUUGAAUUAUGAGUACAUAGGUGGAGGACCUGGCACAGGAAUAUAAUGUAUGUGUCCACAUGACCACAUUGUCACAAAACAUUGCAUGUUUUUUACGGAGUA